UAGGGAAUUUUGGACAAUGGGCGAAAGCCUGAUCCAGCAACGCCGCGUGCGCGAUGAAGGCCUUCGGGUUGUAAAGCGCUUUUAGAGGAGAUGAGAAAGGACAGUAUCCUCUGAAUAAGCCUCGGCGAACUACGUGCCAGCAGCCGCGGUAAAACGUAGGAGGCUAGCGUUAUCCGGAUUUAUUGGGCGUAAAGCGUGUGCAGGCGGUUAUGCAAGUUGGAUGUGAAAGCUCCUGGCUUAACUGUGAGAGGUCGUUCAAAACUGCAUGACUAGAGAAUGGGAGAGGGAGGUGGAAUUCCGGGUGUAGUGGUGAAAUGCGUAGAUAUCCGGAGGAACACCAGUGGCGAAAGCGGCCUCCUGGACCAUUUCUGACGCUCAGACACGAAAGCUAGGGUAGCAAACG
Molecule: ribosomal RNA, 403 nt
Filed under: uncultured bacterium
Lineage: Bacteria
Description: bacterial SSU rRNA
Rfam family: Bacterial small subunit ribosomal RNA
Source: RNAcentral